This 777-nucleotide long non-coding RNA is filed under the name Actinia tenebrosa (Australian red waratah sea anemone). Its description in RNAcentral is "uncharacterized LOC116287040, transcript variant X2". Lineage: Eukaryota; Metazoa; Cnidaria; Anthozoa; Actiniaria; Actiniidae. The record is from RNAcentral.
AGAAAAGAAAUCGAUCAAAAACAGUCUGGCAAAGCACGUCAAUUGGAACCAUCCAACGCCUGGGACAAAGCGGGGAUUUAUACGGCGAGACCAGGGAUUGAACGAGCAAUUCAUGUUUAACAGCAAGAAUGCACAGAUAACCGGGCAAUCUGACGUUUACUACGACAGAUUAACAAUUUUAACUGAAACAACUUCAAUAAUCGUAACAGGAAAUCUCUCCCUGUGUACCGGGAAGAAAUGCUAAAUUUAACACUACUUGAAUGGUGAUAAACGUGGUGAAAGCCUAAAACACAGCGAAAGCAAGCAACAUUCACUUAUAUGGCCAACCGAAUUUCACACUACAGUUACUGAUAAAGACGUACUCGUUCACAACUGAUUCAUCCUCAACUGCACUAUAUUCUUGGAAAAAGUUGGUAAAAUAUUCAUUGAAAACGGGGGAAAUCGUCUGAGAUACAAGAACAAAAUUUUAAUUUAAAGAAGCAAUUUGUGAGUGUUAUGUUUAGUUACUUUUCGAUCUUAUCUGAUUUACUCCUAACCUUGUCCUGUUUCACAGUUAGCUUGUAUUGUACUGUUUAAUUUGUCAUCCUACAGCAAACACUACAAUUAGGGCUCUAUACAAAUAAAAAAUGUCGUGAUUCAAACUUUUUAUUUAAAAGUGUUUCAGGUUUAUUAUUAUAAAGUAUUUGGAAAUGGCCAAGGAUAGACAAGGAUAAGGGGUUUAUCUGUAGAUAAUACCGGUGUAUUGGAAGUAGUUCGAUAUUAAAUGACCAAGGAUAA